Molecule: long non-coding RNA, 757 nt
Organism: Conger conger (European conger)
Lineage: Eukaryota; Metazoa; Chordata; Actinopteri; Anguilliformes; Congridae
Exons: 4
Source: RefSeq, a predicted model, not a curated record
UAUCUAACUGUUGAAUAAGGUGUGCUUUGAUAUAGUUGCAGUGAAAACGUUGGACAGUUGAUGGCCAGGAGCAGGUUUCUGUUGAGUAGGCUAAGGUAAUCGCUAGAUUGAGAUAUGACGCGUCCGAAUCAGCACGAGAAAGAGGAAACGCACAGUGGAAACGGAUGACGGCGAAUAUGCAAUCAAUUAUUUCCAUGGAUAACAACACCCAUGCGAUUUUAACCUAUAAAAACAACGGAGAAAAGCGGAGGAGAAUUAACGGAGAUCGGCACGAUUUGUUUCUCAAGAUCAUUUUGGCCAGUUGGACAGAUGGGUUGUUAUUGGCACCUGUGAAUUGGCAGUCUUCUCCUCUAAGGAUCGUUGAGGGUAUCCACUAUUCCAGAGGGCACCUUGCAUUCAAGCUACAUUAAGCCCAGUACAUUGGGCUACACUUUGCAAUCAGAAAUGUCCAAAAACUGGGAGACCAUUCUGGGCCGAAACACUUCACAACAGAGAUGAAAAACAAAUCACUUCUAAUAGAGGCCUAAUCCAGAGAGGCAAACGGAGCCCUGACAAAAGAAAUAACGAGCGAAGAGGGGGAGGGAGGGAGAGAGAGAUGCAAAAGAUGUGCAGACAACAUGUGACCAGUUUUUUCAAGAGCAGUAAAAAGGCCUUUUAAAAUGUAUGUUCAAAAGGCGGACCUGUGUUUAUCUCAUGAAGGCGAGGGCGUCUGUGAGACUACAGAAUCACUAUGCGUGCGGUUUCAUAUCUUAAUUUG